UGGGGAAUAUUGGACAAUGGGCGCAAGCCUGAUCCAGCCAUGCCGCGUGAGUGAUGAAGGCCCUAGGGUUGUAAAGCUCUUUCACCGGUGAAGAUAAUGACGGUAACCGGAGAAGAAGCCCCGGCUAACUUCGUGCCAGCAGCCGCGGUAAUACGAAGGGGGCUAGCGUUGUUCGGAUUUACUGGGCGUAAAGCGCACGUAGGCGGACUUUUAAGUCAGGGGUGAAAUCCCGGGGCUCAACCCCGGAACUGCCUUGGAUACUGGAAGUCUUGAGUAUGGUAGAGGGGAGUGGAAUUCCGAGGGUAGAGGUGAAAUUCGUAGAUAUUCGGAGGAACACCAGUGGCGAAGGCGGCUCACUGGACCAUUACUGACGCUGAGGUGCGAAAGCGUGGGGAGCAAACAGG
This 404-nucleotide ribosomal RNA is filed under the name Actinomycetes bacterium. Its description in RNAcentral is "Actinobacteria bacterium partial 16S ribosomal RNA". It matches the Rfam family "Bacterial small subunit ribosomal RNA", at positions 355 to 776 of the family's 1533-position model. The record is from RNAcentral. Lineage: Bacteria; Bacillati; Actinomycetota; Actinomycetes.